This 253-nucleotide ribosomal RNA is filed under the name uncultured bacterium. Its description in RNAcentral is "partial 16S ribosomal RNA". It matches the Rfam family "Bacterial small subunit ribosomal RNA", at positions 524 to 776 of the family's 1533-position model. The record is from RNAcentral.
UACGGAGGAUGCAAGCGUUAUCCGGAAUGAUUGGGCGUAAAGCGUCCGCAGGUGGCACCUCAAGUCUGCUGUCAAAGACCGGGGCUUAACCCCAGAAAGGCAGUGGAAACUGAAGUGCUAGAGUGCAGUAGGGGUAGAGGGAAUUCCCGGUGUAGCGGUGAAAUGCGUAGAUAUCAGGAAGAACACCGGUGGCGAAAGCGCUCUGCUAGGCCGCAACUGACACUGAGGGACGAAAGCUAGGGGAGCGAAUGGG